RNA transcript from Betta splendens (Siamese fighting fish), 1705 nucleotides. It is a transcript of the gene named major histocompatibility complex class I-related gene protein-like, with no coding region annotated. The record is from RefSeq and is a predicted model, not a curated record. NCBI's taxonomy places the organism in Eukaryota, Metazoa, Chordata, Actinopteri, Anabantiformes, Osphronemidae. The transcript has 7 exons.
CAGAAAUUACUAACUAAUUUUUAGAAGGUCUUGAGAACUUUGUGCACGUCUAAACGUGAUACGUGACGCACGUGUGACGUAACCAAGCGGUGACGUAAUUUUAGGCGUGUGAGGAGACGCAUCGACCCAAGACCCGCUAUGCUUUUGCUUUAUAACGGUGUCGAAGUGCCCGCGUUCAUAGAAACCAAGGUUCGGCUUCGUUAGCAGCGCUGAGGGAACUUCGCGCAGUUCAAAGUUCGGUUCCGUUCUUUGGAUCUUUGGAACAAGAACGUUUAGUAGAACAUGAAGGAGUUUUUUAUUCUAAUUUUUCUUCCUCUCACAGAUUCAGUGAAACACACCCUGACUUAUUUCCUCACCACCUCCACUGGACAAAAAACCCUCCCAGAGUUUGUGGGUGUUGCGACGCUUGAUGGAGUGAAUGUCGGUUUCUGCGACGGCAUCAACAGAACAGAAAUCAGAUCAGACUGGAUGGAAGAAGUAAAGGAAAAACACCCUGAGCUCAUGGUGUGGAACAACGACAACUGCAUCGGAGCUAAUCAUGUUUCUAAAGUCCAGAUUCAAGACAUUCAGCAGUUCUUUGACCAAACUCAAGGUGUUCACACUUUGCAGGAGUUGGUCGGUUGUGAGUUUGAUGAUCAGACUGAUCUCUACACUGGCUUUGACUUCUAUGGUUAUGAUGGAGCAGGUUUCGUAUCAUUGGACCCAAAGAGGAUGACGUGGACGUACACGGAGCGAGCUGAACCCUACAAACACCAGUGGGAUCCAAACGAAACGCUGCUGCUGCUCGUUAAGGACUUUAUAAUGAACUUUUGCCCUGAAUGGUUGAAGGUGUGUUUGCUCUAUGGGAAGAAGUCGUUGCAGAGAAAAGUUCCUCCCUCAGUGUCUCUGCUCCAGAAGUCCCCCUCGUCUCCAAUCAGCUGCUUCGCUACAGGUUUCUACCCAAACAGAGCCGACAUGUUCUGGAGGAGAGAUGGAGAACAGACCCAUGAGGACGUGGACCAUGGAGAGAUCCUCCCCAACCCUGAUGGAACCUUCCAGAUGAGGGUCCACCUGGACCUUUCAUCAGUCACAGCUCAGGACUGGAGCAGAUAUGAAUGUGUGUUUAAACUGUCUGGAAUGAAGGACGACGUCAUCAUUAGACUGGACCGAGCUGAGAUCAGAACCAAUGAAGUUUAUAAUUCUCAUCCUCCUCAUCUGAUCUUACUUCAAGUCUCAUAAAUUCCUCCCUCCAGCCUUGUACUUGCUGUUGUCAUUGGAGCCGUGGUUCUGCUGCUGACAGUCGGCAUCGCUGGAAUCUUCAUGUGGAGGAGGAGGAGACAGGCUGCUGCUUAUUAGAAGAGGACGCCAGCAAAGGUGCUUCCAAUGAUCUGACCUCCACUUGGAGGAAAGUUUGUGAGCUGUGUGCUCAUUAUCGUCAUGUGUCAUUCCUCUAUUUCAUGUUCAUUUUUAUCCAGAGCUGUGUGUUGACCUUUAGUCCAAGGCUCCACAAACAACCGUCCUCUGGUGGAGGGAACGGAGCAGACGAGGCUCAGAUUCUGUCUGUUCAGCUCUGUGUGGAGCAGCUGUGCUCUGAUACUGGGCAGCAGCAAAGUUAAGAACCCUGGUCCAGUUUGACCAGUAAACUGUGUUAACAUUAAACUCUGUUAAAAACAAACUGUCUGUUAUUGAAUAAACUGUUUGUUAAUAAUAAACUAUUAGAAUCAUA